UUAUGGGGUAGAUACCUCUCUUUACA
This 26-nucleotide transfer RNA is filed under the name Tympanocryptis macra. RNAcentral describes it as "Tympanocryptis lineata macra partial tRNA-Tyr". The record is from RNAcentral. Lineage: Eukaryota; Metazoa; Chordata; Lepidosauria; Squamata; Agamidae.